RNAcentral lists this ribosomal RNA (253 nucleotides) under uncultured bacterium. RNAcentral's name for it is "partial 16S ribosomal RNA". It matches the Rfam family "Bacterial small subunit ribosomal RNA", at positions 524 to 776 of the family's 1533-position model. The record is from RNAcentral.
UACGGGGGGGGCAAGCGUUGUUCGGAAUUACUGGGCGUAAAGGGCUCGUAGGCGGCCAACUAAGUCAGACGUGAAAUCCCCAGGCUCAACCUGGGAACUGCGUCUGAUACUGGAUGGCUUGAAUUCGGGAGAGGGAUGCAGAAUUCCAGGUGUAGCGGUGAAAUGCGUAGAUAUCUGGAGGAAUACCGGUGGCGAAGGCGGCAUCCUGGACCGACAUUGACGCUGAGGAGCGAAAGCUAGGGGAGCGAACGGG